Molecule: ribosomal RNA, 303 nt
Filed under: uncultured bacterium
Lineage: Bacteria
Description: bacterial SSU rRNA
Rfam family: Bacterial small subunit ribosomal RNA
Source: RNAcentral
UGGGGAAUAUUGCACAAUGGGGGGAACCCUGAUGCAGCGACGCCGCGUGGGUGAAGGAGUACUUCGGUACGUAAAGCCCUAUCAGCAGGAAAGAAAAUGACGGUACCUGACUAAGAAGCCCCGGCUAACUACGUGCCAGCAGCCGCGGUAAUACGUAGGGGGCAAGCGUUAUCCGGAUUUACUGGGUGUAAAGGGAGCGUAGACGGCAGUGCAAGUCCGGAGUGAAAGCCCGGGGCUCAACCCUGGGACUGCUCUGGAAACUGUAAAGCUGGAGUGCGGGAGGGGCAGGCGGAAUUCCUGGUG